Acinonyx jubatus (cheetah) is the source of this 813-nucleotide long non-coding RNA. RefSeq lists it as uncharacterized. The transcript is spliced from 2 exons. NCBI's taxonomy places the organism in Eukaryota, Metazoa, Chordata, Mammalia, Carnivora, Felidae. The record is from RefSeq and is a predicted model, not a curated record.
UGUGUGGUGUCUCCCUCCAACACAGGGAGCUCCAGGCACACAGGGCAGACCUCCUCCAUGUCAGUAUCCUGAGUGCCUGGCACAGUGCCCACCAUGGAGCAGGCACUCAAUAAACUGUGUAGAAUUCAAACAAGCUAAAAGAAGACUAUAUGCUUUGUACACACUGGAAUUCCUUAAUAUUUCAAAAUGGAAAUCCGAGUUCUGAAAAAAAAUCAAGGUUUUAAGAGCCAACACAGAAUCUGGAACCAUCGAGCAAUGCAUCAAGUUCUCUUUCUCUGCAUCCAGUUCUCCUGGGGCUUAAAAAAAAAAUACUGAUGGCCAGACUCCAUCCCUGGCAAUUAUAAUGUAAUAGAUCUGCAGUGGGCCUGGGCAGUGUUAGGUAUUAAAAGGUCUAAGGUAGAGCCAGGAUUGAGACUCUGCCAUAGCUCAGAGGGGUCCACCACAUUGUAAAGAGCUCCCAGUCUAAGUGAUGCUGGAAGUCAGAGAACUGGUUUACAGGAAUGCGGAGAGAUGGUCCCCCUCAGCUGUCCUUGCUAUCUUUGUUCUAGCUCCUCUACCGGACUCUCAGCUGGAGGGAGGAUUUAGGUCUUUGCAUGUUCACCCCUACAGUGCAGAGCACAGUGCCUGGCAGGCUGACGGUUGCCCUGUUAGCUGAAUUGAUUCUGAAUCUGGCCUGAAGACACUCCAGCUGCCCCAUCCCAAACGUCCUGGCUCCCUGAAGUCUCUGUGACCUCAUGUCAGAGUGGCUGGAAACUUUCACUCAAAUGAGCUGGCUGUGGCCUCCCCCGACUUUGAAAAUAAAUAAAGAAUACA